RNAcentral lists this long non-coding RNA (3916 nucleotides) under Pan troglodytes (chimpanzee). RNAcentral's name for it is "long non-coding RNA NONPTRT015478". The record is from RNAcentral. Lineage: Eukaryota; Metazoa; Chordata; Mammalia; Primates; Hominidae.
CAACCCUCCCGUCCUCCCGGGCUGCGUCUCCCCGACGGUGCCCUCCGUGGAAACUUCAGCCUCUUCGGGCUUCUCUUUGCUAGUGCAUUAUCGAAGGUGUGAAAGUGGCUUUGGGAAUCUCACCCCCCUGCGGUCGCUGUGGGGCUUGGAGGAGCGAACUGAAAAGCAACUUUUAUUUGACCCUCAUGCCGCCCCUCAGAUUCUCUCUUCCAUCACUCGCCUGCUUCGAGAGGUUUUUCAGUUUAAGAGCUGGCUAGCUCAUUCGUGUGUUUGCUGUUUGUAGCCGGGGAAGGAGAAGCUGGGCGAAACACUUAACACGCACACAAACUCUUCAGCAGCGGAUAAGCGGACAAGGCAAAAUCUCAGCAAGUUCGGACCUCUAGUACAAUAAGGCGAACCUCCUCUUUGGAUACAAUAACAGGACCUUACCUCACGGGACAGUGGCCACGGGAUCCUCAUGUUCACUACCCUUCAUGCAUGAAAGACAAAGCUACUCAGACACCUAGCUGUUGGGCAGAAGAGGGUGCAGAAAAGAGGUCACAUCAGCGUUCUGCGUCAUGGGGGAGUGCUGAUCAACUAAAAGAGCAGAUCGCCAAACUGAGGCAGCAACUACAACGCAGUAAACAGAGUAGUCGUCACAGUAAGGAGAAAGAUCGCCAGUCACCUCUUCAUGGCAACCAUAUAACAAUCAGUCACACUCAGGCUACUGGAUCAAGGUCAGUUCCUAUGCCACUGUCAAAUAUAUCAGUGCCAAAAUCAUCUGUUUCACGUGUGCCCUGCAAUGUAGAAGGAAUAAGUCCUGAAUUAGAAAAGGUAUUCAUUAAAGAAAAUAAUGGGAAGGAAGAAGUAUCCAAGCCGUUGGACAUACCAGAUGGUCGAAGAGCUCCACUUCCUGCUCAUUACCGGAGCAGUAGUACUCGCAGCAUUGACACUCAGACUCCUUCUGUCCAGGAGCGCAGCAGUAGCUGCAGCAGUCAUUCACCCUGUGUCUCCCCUUUUUGUCCCCCGGAAUCCCAGGAUGGUAGCCCUUGCUCAACAGAAGAUUUGCUCUAUGAUCGUGAUAAAGGUCUCGUCAGCCUAUCUCGGCCCCUCUCUUUUCAUGUCCUGACAAAAACAAGGUUAAUUUCAUCCCAACCGGAUCAGCUUUCUGUCCUGUAAAACUUCUAGGCCCCCUCUUACCUGCUUCUGACCUUAUGCUCAAGAACUCUCCUAACUCUGGCCAGAGCUCAGCUUUGGCAACUCUGACCGUUGAGCAGCUCUCAUCCCGGGUUUCCUUUACGUCUCUUUCUGAUGACACCAGCACAGCGGGCUCCAUGGAGGCCUCUGUCCAGCAGCCAUCCCAGCAGCAGCAGCUCCUGCAGGAACUGCAGGGUGAGGACCACAUCUCUGCUCAGAACUAUGUGAUCAUCUAAAAAAGGGGGAGCUGGCCUCCACCCUAUGUUCCAUGGAUUCGGAACAAGAUUUCAGACAUCUGCAUGAGUGACAAACUUUCUGAACGCCACCACCACCAGUAAUACUUAUCAGCAUCAUAAAGUAUCUCUUAAACACUGAUCUUGGCAGGGACGGAACUCCUAUUCAGCAGUUUUUGUGGAAAGCAGUAAUGCUUGCAAAACGUGUGUGUCAUUCAGCAUUUUAAGUGGAGACUAUGCAUUUCAUAGUAUAUUUGACAGAUUAGUACUGUGUCCUGUGUUUUGUUCCAGAUUCUUCAGUAUAAAUAAGCUCUAUAUCAAAAAGUUGCCUGUCUAAAUAGAAAAUGUCUUGCUGUGUUUUGUCCUAUGGAAAAUACUGUAAUUCAGGAUUAUGUUUACAAUUGAUCCAGGUGUUUGUUUCUAACUUCUGUAAUACAUACAAUGCAAAAAAAAAAAAAAAAAAAUGGCCACAACAGUUGCACAGUGCCCACCCUAUGGCCUAGCUUCAGGUACUUCAGUUGAAGUCUAAACUCAGGUAACUUGGAAUGUAUAUCAUAUUGGGAUAUUAACUAUUUCACAGCUAAAAAGCUAAAGAGGGAACAUCACUCUUUUGCCUUUCCUUAUUUUAUGCAUUUCCCUUUCCUCAUUACAUUCCACAUUCUUAGAAUAAGAAGUGCAUUCAAUCCUAGGAGAAUGAUAAUCCUGGACAUGGGUGAACAUGAGGAGAACCAGCAAAAUCUGUGGUGUUUGACAUCACUUUGUCAUGUGGUUACAAGUAAAACAACUGUUGCAUUCACUGUUUCAACAUGUGUACAUGUGGCUUUUUUAAAAGUUCAGGUGUUGCUCAGUAAAGGACUGUGACAAUGUUGCAAAUAAAGUGUUCAGUACUGGACUGUACAUAAACAUUCCACAUUGUGUGUGAUGAAAUUUAAAGACAAGAAUGUCUAGAGUUAAUUUCAAAAUAAGUGAAGUGUUUGACGGAAUGGUUGAGAUUUUUUUGUUUAUGUUAGCCAUCAGGGUCAUAACUGUUACCAUUUUAUCUAAAGACAGAUUUAUAUUUAGUUUCUCCCUUGGAAAUUCUUUAUUUUGCAGGUGAAAAAGUGACAUACUUUUUGUUAUUGUCUUCCUCAAGCAGUUUAGGUGCAUGAUCUUCAUUUACAUAGAAUACUUGGGUCUCAGAAUUGAUGCAACAUAAGCAGGUUUUUUGGUGACUUACAAGAGCUAUAGUUUGAAGCUAUCUCAUUUAAGCCUCUCAUAAUACAUAAUCAUGAGUAGUUUUGAAAUUUGCAACCUGUGAGGUAGAGCAUAAACUCAAGAAAAUAGCCUUGAACUUGCAGACUUUUGACACAAGUUCUCCACAAAGUGUGAAGAGAGCCCUAGGCAUUCCUGAUUGGUCAAUGGGAGAGCCUAACUUUCAUUGUUUUUUGGAUACAAAGAGUAUCCAAAAGCGAAGUUUUUGUAUUCCACUACUUUCAGUUCAGUAAAACCUAGAGUUGUUUCAUCUGCGCCUAAAGUGUAUGGCACAAUUUUCUUAAGAAUUAGGGGAACCAGGUGCCUACAGUUAAAGGAACGUUUCAGUUCCUUUCAUUCAUUCCUGGGUUUUUCUUUUAUUUUCUAAGAAGGUUGAAGAAGGAUGAGUGAUAGAGAAGAAAGCAACACCAUUGAUUUUUUUUUUUAAGAAAUGAUAUAUAUAUGUAUAUGUUUGUGUGUGUGUGUGUGUGUGUGUGUGUGUGUGUAUUCUGUGCAUUAUUUUGUCAUGAUCUCAAUUCUCUUCUUUCCACCAAAGUUUGCCGUAAUAUUUUCUCUUGAAGGUGCAUUCUGGCUCCUUUAAAUUAGUCAGUGUUAUAUUGUAGGAGACUGUCAUGGAAAAAAGGACUCAGUUUACUUUUGUCAUUUUCACAGGGGAACCUUUUAAAACAAUCUUUUCAGCAGCAGAUACCUUUAACCCUAAUAAUCUCAGGCCUUGAUGAAAAUACUAUAUUUUGUAGAUUAUGGUUAAAGGGAGAAAAUUACUAGUUCCGUAAGAUAAAUAUGAGCUCCAUUUGACUUCUGAUAUCUGGUUUAGCAUUACAUAAUAUGUUGAUCUUACACUCUGCUUUUGUCCAAAUAAAAUGCAAUAGUAUCAAUAUCAAUUUCAGAAAAAUGGACUGAAUAUGCUUUUUUGGUGAUUAAGUCUGAUGUACGAUAUUUAUAGUGAUGUGCUUUUAUUUUCUCAUGAGAUACUAAAUAUUAAUUGUGUUGUACAUUUGUUCUUAGCAUAUAUUAAAGUUUUGAACCAAAUGUGUUAAAGCUUACGCUUUGCCAUGUAAAUUUCCCAGAAGUUGUUGAGCUCAAAUGUAUCCUACAUCCAGCUGUAGAAAUUUGUCAGAAAUUGUUUAAAUUUUGUAUAUAAUUGUACUGUUUAAUUCUAGCCAUUGCGCUGAACAGUAUUUGAGUUACCAUAUAAUAUGGCUUUACACAAGGAAAUGUGUGGCUUUUGUUUUGUAUUUUUUCAGUAUAGAAGUUCC